CGCAUGUGCCUCAGCAGCUUCAACGUCAGCCACAAAAUCAAUUUUCCAAUUCGUGGCACAAACAAAGUGUCCGGCGUGGUCGUGGAUAAGCUCCAGUAGUGCCAGUGAGAGUAUCGGCAUCGAAAGAGGCAUCAACAUUAAGCUUUACCCAACCUUCAGGAGGUCUAGACCAACCUUGCUUCUUGGCAUGUGCUUUCACCGGCGAAGCGGCAACAUAGUUUGAUGUCAUCGCACAGAUAGAAACCGCCGAUCUGUCAGGGGAUUGAAGUAUCUCGCCAUGAACAGCCUUCCGGCGCUCCCACCAAAUAUACCAGCAUGUCGUCGCCACCAAUUCACGCAAACCAGCAGGUGGAUCGCCUGACCUGAAGGAGUCACAUAGCAGGUACUCAAGAACCGCAGACCCAGCCCGGUCGGAAAGACAAGCUUCAUUGACAAACUUCUGGCAGUUAAGUUUUUCCCAUAUAGCUAUAGCACGCUUGCAGCGGAAUAGCAUGUGAAAGAUAUCCUCAGCUCCUUCUUGACAGAGAGGGCAUUGAGCACUGAUCUUCAUAUGGCGAUUUGCAAGAACAACACGGCAAGGCAAAGCACCGUGGAGGGUUUUCCACAAGAAGAUUUUUACCUUUGCCGGCACCCGCAGCUUCCAGAGAAUUUUCCACGCCGGGUGCUGUUUAGAGGAAUCCCUACCGUCUGAACGACGGAGCUUGUGGCCAUGCUGGUUCAUCCAGUCAGCAUGAUAAGCUGACUUCACGGAGAAGGUGAUAUGGACAUGCUAAUCAUGGAUACGACCAUUAGAACCCUAAUUGUUGGUGUCUCUAAUAAUUAUAAUCAGGUGAAUUCAAUUACAAAAUGUUUUCAAUAUGUUACUUGCAAAGAGGCGGAGCUAUUAUCUUGUGUAAUCUUAUUAUGUAGGCAUCUUAUUGAACUUUACAAGUCCAAAGUGAAGAUGAAGUGUUAUAGCCUGCAAAGGGAGAUUCAAAGUGAAGCCUAUCAAGUCUACUUUCCAACAAAUCAAACGGCACAUGAUUCGGAGCUUGCUAGAGAAAGAUAUCACGAAUUAAAGUUGAAUCCGAUUCGGGUCCGAGGUGUCAGGAGAUCCGAAUUUGUUUUAAUCACCCAGGCCGCAUCCGGAGUCCAAAUCAACCAAACAAGUACUUGUUGGAAAGGUAAUUACAAGACCUUUUCAACGGAUCUAGCCCCAUCAAGAGAUUCGACUUGUGCUGACCGUGGCGGACAAAACAAGAUGACGGAUCUGUUUUUCUGUUUCCUAAAGAGUUGUAGUUUGUUAGGAAAGUUAGAGAUAGAGUUGAAUUUCGGACUCCUUAUUCAAGGUGGACGAAAAUAUCUCUCCCUCCUCCUUUAUAUACACCAUGAGCCCCCCUAAGGAGCCUUGGGUUUUGAUUAGAUAAAGUUUAGCCUUUGCUACUUUCGUGUAAUCGCGUGUGUCGGUUAGACCACCUGUUUUACCGUCAUCAAGACUCCAACUAUAUUGAGUAUUCAGAUUCGUGAACCUUCAUAUCUUCUAUUCGCAAUUUCAGAUUGCUUUUCAUCUUGUUCUUGCUUGUUCUUCGAUUGCUUGUAGGAACAAAGACCUUCGUGGUCAGGUUGAUCGUGCCCCCGCGGGAUCAAUAACCUUCUGGAGUUGGUGUAUCGAUCGCUAAGGCGCUGCCUCCUAGGCCGUAGUCGGAUCGUCAACGUCACCUCCUACCAAAUCGAUAAUUAGGUAUCUCAUCGAAAGAUCGGGACACCCUCGAGGCUAUCACGUGGUAUCAGAGCUUAAGGUUGCUCGGUGAGAUUUUUCCAGUUUAUCCGUAGUUUAGAUCUGUUUUUACCUAUCGUCCAGAAAAAGCCAAACAAAAAUUAAAAUUAGUUACCUUGUCCUAGAACCAAUCUGAGCCUUGCAAUUUUCACAUUAGUAUUUGCAUUGUUGAAUCUUUGCUGCAUUAAUCGUGUCGAGUUGCUGGAUUAGAUUGGAUCGUUUUUCAGAUUUUUUCUACUAUAUCAAACUUGCUUUUGGUUUUCUUGUUUUUCGUGUGACGCAGGUUUCCUUCAUCAAUCUUCCGCCGCCAAACUUCCUGCCACACCACCGCCAUAAUCUUCCGCCGCCACCAUAUCUUCCACCGAGUCCCUCUUCGAGUCCUACACCGAGUCCUUCUUCCAGUCCUACACCGAGUCCCUCUUCGAGUCCUACACCGAGUCCCUCGUCGAGUCCUACAUCGAGUCGGCAAGUUAUAGUUUUCAGCCGCGAGUUCGAGUCCGAGUCCAAUCAAGAGUGCUUUUGGAAAGUGUUUCAUAAUAGAUCGAAUUUUGUUUAGAGAUCAAGUUGUUCGGAAAGUUGUGGAAAAAAAAAGAAGGGAAAGAAAAAAAAAAGGAAGAAAGAAAGAAAAAAAAACGAAAAAAAAGAAAAGAGAAAGAGUUCGAGUCAGUUUCGGACCCGAGUCCGAGUAGAAUUUUAGUUUCGGGUGGGUUUGACCCGUGUUCAGUAAAACGGACGUAUCUUUUGCAUAACAACUCGGAUUUGGACGUUCUUGGACUUUUUGGAAAGCUCACGACGAAGCGCAUCAGGAAAUAUCCAGGACGCUGCCCUGCACUUUGACCCUCAAAUUCGUCCUCUAAGGUGGACUUCUCGAGCUCCAAAGUUUCUGCACCCGUUUUACGGCACCGGGGCAGCGUAGUAUAUCUCAGUUUUCUCCACCGUCCGACCUCCGUUUCGAGUGAUCUUGCACUUGUUGGAAAGCUUGUUUCGAUACGCUUCUAACCCAUAUUUUUUCAUAUUUUUCUGAAUUUUUUUCUUACUGCAGCCUUUGCUGUUCUUCGACAGACUGACGUACAGUUUUCCGGUCCUUCUUUUGCGUGAGUUUCUGGGGUUAAAAAAAGAAAAACAAAUAAAAAGAAAAGAAUAAGAAGCCAAACAGAAGGCCACAAAAAGAAAAAAGAAGAAAAAAAUCCCAGGGAUUUACUUGUUGUGCCAUCUUUUGAUCUUUCUAUCCUAUCUUCUUUAGUAUCUAGGCUUAGAUUAUUUCUGUAAUUCGUUCUUAUCGACUCCAGCAGCUAGGACUAGCAUUAUUGAGCAUAUUUUCAACUUUGCAUUGCUGAUUUGAUUAUUUGCUAUUCCUUGCUACUCACAAAAGCAUCCAAGCUCCACAGAUUCUACACCUAGGUUGGUUUGUUACCGAGGCAUCGAUACAUUUAAUCUUCGGAGGGCUUGGUCAUGCCGCUGGCCAUCACCUUCCUAUUUUGCAUGGUAAGAACUUGUAAAAACUUGAUUUUUAGCUUGAGAGUUGAGCGACUUGUAGCCACAUCCUAUUAGUUGAUAGGAACAUAUUCCUGUGUUUUGUUUCUUGUCUUAUACUAACCAUGACAGGACUUACACAAAGGAUGGAAAAUAGGCCUAUUCUAUCAAGUGACCGACAUGAGCGUUUUUCACCACAUCCAUCCUCCUCGUCUCUUGUUGACAUUGGCAAGGAAAAGGUAUAUCGCAAUCCUUGUAAUGUCACUAAUUGUUUUGGACCUCUCUUUGAUGGAAAUAAUGAUGUUGAAGCUUAUAUUGAUUGGGAAAUAGCUCUAAUUGAGCAAUUCACAUGCUUCCAUGUACUAGAUAGUCGUAAGGUCCAAAUUGCUAGUAGUAGAUUUCGUUUUGAUGCAUUAUCAUGGUGGAGUGAGAUAGUUAGAGAAAACAAAAUACCUCACACUUGGAUUGAUAUGAAGAAAAUCAUGAGAGAAAAAUAUGUUCCUCCAAGUUAUGCUUAUGAGUUGCGUCCCAAAUUACGACGUUUGACAUAUGAUAAAACUGUUGAUGAUUACUACCAUGAGUUCCAAAUUUUAACCUUGCGAUCUGGUUUAGAUGAAACCGAACAAAGAAAAAUGGAUAGGUUUUAUUAUGGGCUUAAUUUUGAAAUUUCUUACGUGAUUGAAUAUGGGGAUUACGACUCUCUAUUGUGUUUGCUUAAUCUUGCUCGUGAAGCUGAGAGGAAGUUAGAAAGAAGGUAUAAUACAAAUGAGGCGAGCCCACAAGGUAAUGUUACAGAGGUUUGUGUUGCUGAACUAAAUAUGACGUGUAUUGAAAUAAAUGAGAUAUUUGAUGAACAUGCUGCCCCUUGUAAAACUGUUGAUUUACUUGCCAAUUUGAGCGCACCCAUUGAUUCAAAUGAUAAUGAUUUAUGUGAUGAGUUACCUGCUGUUUUGGAACAGACUUGUGACGCGAUGAUUAAAUUUGAUUUAUGUUGCAUUGAAUUAAUUAAACAUGAAGAAGUGUUUCCUAUGGUUCCGCCUAAUAAUUCUUUGUGUUCUAUUAAACUUGAUGCACCUAUAUAUUUGUCACAUGCAAUGGAUAAAGGUUCUGAGUUAACAAUUUCAAAAUCUUUUGCUAAUGCCCAUGGAUACACUAUUCAAUUAAUUGGAGAACAUGAUGUGAACAAUAAAUUUUGGGUGCAUCAGAUUUGCAUUGCUUGUGAUAACUUUCUUGAUUUGAGAGAAAAUAAUAUGUUGCAUAUGCUUAACCAUUUUGAUAUGACCUCCAAUAUUGGUGUUGAUUAUUUGCCAAUUAGUUCUUUACACGAUUGUUCGAAUAUUAGUGCUUUGACAUGCUCUAAAUUUCAGCAUCUUGUAGUAACUAAUUUGGGUAAUAUUAUUAAUUAUUAUUCUCCAGUGUUGGGAUGGUAUAAUGGUGAGCGGUGCAAACCAAAUACAAGAUAUUCUUUCACUUAUAUAUGCAAAACAUAUUGUCAAUCUUCUUGCUGGAAUGAUAUUCAUGAUGAUUGUGUGACUAAUUAUCUCAUGAGAUUGUGUUAUAAAACAUUAAUUGUGCAACAUGGGAGUGGAGUUAAAAAUUACGAUAUAUACAUAUACCAUGCGCAUACCUUGUCUCUUUUGUUAGCAUAUUUUCAGCAUAAACGACGCCGAGGACGGCUUUCCUUUCAAGAAAGGGAGGAUGAUAUGGACAUGCUAACCAUGGAUACGACCAUUAGAACCCUAAUUGUUGGUGUCUCUAAUAAUUAUAAUCAGGUGAAUUCAAUUACAAAAUGUUUUCAAUAUGUUACUUGCAAAGAGGCGGAGCUACUAUCUUGUGUAAUCUUAUUAUGUAGGCAUCUUAUUGAACUUUACAAGUCCAAAGUGAAGAUGAAGUGUUAUAGCCUGCAAAGGGAGAUUCAAAGUGAAGCCUAUCAAGUCUACUUUCCAACAAAUCAAACGGCACAUGAUUCGGAGCUUGCUAGAGAAAGAUAUCACGAAUUAAAGUUGAAUCCGAUUCGGGUCUGAGGUGUCAGGAGACCCGAAUUUGUUUUAAUCACCCAGGCCGCAUCCGGAGUCCAAAUCAAGCAAACAAGUACUUGUUGGAAAGGUAAUUACAAGACCUUUCCAACGGAUCUGGCCCAUCAAGAGAUUCGACUCGUGCUGACCGUGGCGGACAAAACAAGCUGACGGAUCUGUUUUUCUGUUUCCUAAAGAGUUGUAGUUUGUUAGGAAAGUUAGAGAUAGAGUUGGAUUUCGGACUCCUUAUUCAAGGUGGACGAAAAUAUCUCUCCCUCCUCCUUUAUAUACACCAUGAGCCCCCCUAAGGAGCCUUGGGUUUUGAUUAGAUAAAGUUUAGCCUUUGCUACUUUCGUGUAAUCGCGUGUGUCGGUUAGACCACCUGUUUUACCGUCAUCAAGACUCCAACUAUAUUGAGUAUUCAGAUUCGUGAACCUUCAUAUCUCCUAUUCGCAAUUUCAGAUUGCUUUUCAUCUUGUUCUUGCUUGUUCUUCGAUUUCUUGUAGGAACAAAGACCUUCGUGGUCAGGUCGAUCGUGCCCCCGCGGGAUCAAUAACCUUCUGGAGUUGGUGUAUCGAUCGCUAAGGCGCUGCCUCCUAGGUUGUAGUCGGAUCGUCAACGUCACCUCCUACCAAAUCGAUAAUUAGGUAUCUCAUCGAAAGAUCGGGACACCCUCGAGGCUAUCAGAAGGUCCCUGAUUUGGUUAAGUCCCAAGCCAUAAAAUCUGUGUCUACCCGACUAGACAGAGGAAUAGAGAGAAUUCUUUGCACGUCCACCGGGAGGAAAGUUUGCAGAAGCAGAUCGAUGUCCCAAUUCUCGGUUGCUGGAUUAAUGAGCUCAUUAACUUUGGUGACGAGAUAACACUCGUCUAGAAUGGGAGUGAGGUAUCCAAGGAUGGUCCCAUAUAUGAAUUUUUGCACCAUCGCCGACACGCCAAAUAUUACCAAGUUUGAAAGUCUUGAUUCCCGCAAAGAUGCUUUGCCAACUGAAAGAAGCACCCUUCUUCAGCUGAGCAGUAAGAAGAUCUCCCUCUCGAUACUAUUUGGCACGGAGAACCUUAGCACACAGCGAGUCGGGUGAGGAGAUCAGACGCCCCGAGCAUGGCCUGGUUAUAGCAAUGAAUAUCUCAAAAGCCCAUACGGGCUUGUGAUUUUGGAACACACAUUUUCCACCAAGCGAACCAAUGCAUCCUCCGAUGGUUUUCUUCGUCUCCCCACCAAUACCGCGACAUAACAUCUGAUAUCCCUUUACAAAUUUGUUUCGGGAUUUUGAAGACGGACAUCGCAUAGGAGGGGAUAGCUUGAGCCACCGAUUUCAAGAGAACUUCCUUUCCUCUAGCCGAGAGCAGUCUCUCCUUCCACCCGGUUGUGCGUCUUUUAACACGAUCAACAAGGAACUGAAAGCAAUCUGAUCUGUCAGCUCGACAGUCGAUUAUCCAUAGUUGAUUGAGUUUAAACUGUUUGACCAGAAUGUGUAAUAACAAUACAUAUCUGCAGGAUGUAG
This 6747-nucleotide long non-coding RNA is filed under the name Brachypodium distachyon (stiff brome). Its description in RNAcentral is "long non-coding RNA (BDIS_LNC005568)". The record is from RNAcentral. Lineage: Eukaryota; Viridiplantae; Streptophyta; Magnoliopsida; Poales; Poaceae.